AUCUCUGUAGAGUCUGCAUAUCAAUAAGCGGAGGAAAAGAAACUAACUAGGAUUCCCUCAGUAACGGCGAGUGAAGCGGGAAGAGCUCAAAUUUGAAAUCUUCAAGGUUUUACCUUGACGAAUUGUAGUUUAAAGAAGUGUUUUCUGUUGGAGUUUUGGUAAAAGUUCUUUGGAAUAGGACAUCAUAGAGGGUGAGAAUCCCGUAUUUGACCAUUAUUUCCAGCUUUGUGAUACACUUUCAAAGAGUCGGAUUGUUUGGGAAUGCAGUCCAAAAUGGGUGGUAAAUUUCAUCUAAAGCUAAAUAUUGGCGAGAGACCGAUAGCGAACAAGUACCGUGAGGGAAAGAUGAAAAGAACUUUGAAAAGAGAGUUAAACAGUACGUGAAAUUGUCAAAAGGGAAGCGUUUGACACCAGUGUUGUUUUCUCGAAAAUCAAUUAAAAAUGGCGGGAUUUUGUGUUGUAUUGACUUUAUCAGCUUUCUGCACUCUUUUCCUGUCUUUUUUAAUGCACUUUUCGUUUAACAAGUCAACAUCAAUUUCUUUUGUUGUAAAAGGGUCAUUGGAAGGUGGCUUUCUUUUCGGAGAAAGUGUUUAUAGCCUUUGGCCUCUGCAAUCGGAGAGAUUGAGGUCUGCAGCGUAGAUCCUUCGGGGUUAGAUACAUUUGUGCUAAGUUAUAGCCUUUCAUAGACAACUUGUUGACUAUGAUCAGUCAUGUAGCUUACUCGCUUAUGCUAUUUUACCUACGCUUAGGAUGUUGAGUCAUCACACAUCUCU
This 773-nucleotide ribosomal RNA is filed under the name uncultured Neocallimastigales. RNAcentral describes it as "partial large subunit ribosomal RNA". It matches the Rfam family "Eukaryotic large subunit ribosomal RNA", at positions 24 to 614 of the family's 3401-position model. Lineage: Eukaryota; Fungi; Neocallimastigomycota; Neocallimastigomycetes; Neocallimastigales. The record is from RNAcentral.